GAGGGGCGUGGACGGUGAGGGCCUAUGCUGUGUUGAGCAGCAAAAGAAGUCGAGAUCCUAGAAUCAAUGAGCUGGAAGAACACGAGGAAGCCGGAGGGCAGAGGCUUGAAGUUGAGAUUUCAGAAACGGUGCAGUUUCACACUCAGGAUUGACACGGGAGGUGGUGGCUGAGGUGACACGAUGGAAGUGGCUGUCGGAGAUUGCUCUCCAGUGGCAGAGUGCAAACGACUUGACCUGGGAAACAGAAAGACGUGGGUUCAAGAUGCCCCUUUCCCACUCACUAGCAUUUGCUUAACCGUCCUGCCACUCAGCUUCCGUGCUUGCAAAAUAGCAAUAGGAACACCUCCCCACAGGGCGCUAAGAGGACUGGAGAACUUGUCUACAAGGUCGCUGAGCAGAAUGGGAUCCCCAGGAAAGGUAGACACCACAGUUAUCAGUUGUAUUAAUAUUCACCCACCAGGUGUCACGAAGAGCAAUGGCAUGACCGACCACUGCUGGGAUGUUGAGAACACAAGGAGACUAGGUUUGGGAACCUCUUUGUGCAUAACUGCUAAGUCCUGAACUUCUGUUCUAAAAUAAUGGAUGAAUAUGAUGCG
Long non-coding RNA from Lemur catta (Ring-tailed lemur), 596 nucleotides. RefSeq lists it as uncharacterized. The transcript is spliced from 3 exons. The record is from RefSeq and is a predicted model, not a curated record. Lineage: Eukaryota; Metazoa; Chordata; Mammalia; Primates; Lemuridae.